CUUUCUACAGGCUUAACACAUGCAAGUCGAGGGGCAGCAUUUCAGUUUGCUUGCAAACUGGAGAUGGCGACCGGCGCACGGGUGAGUAACACGUAUCCAACCUGCCGAUAACUCGGGGAUAGCCUUUCGAAAGAAAGAUUAAUACCCGAUGGCAUAAUUAGACCGCAUGGUCUUAUUAUUAAAGAAUUUCGGUUAUCGAUGGGGAUGCGUUCCAUUAGGCAGUUGGUGAGGUAACGGCUCACCAAACCUUCGAUGGAUAGGGGUUCUGAGAGGAAGGUCCCCCACAUUGGAACUGAGACACGGUCCAAACUCCUACGGGAGGCAGCAGUGAGGAAUAUUGGUCAAUGGACGAGAGUCUGAACCAGCCAAGUAGCGUGAAGGAUGACUGCCCUAUGGGUUGUAAACUUCUUUUAUAUGGGAAUAAAGUUUUCCACGUGUGGAAUUUUGUAUGUACCAUAUGAAUAAGGAUCGGCUAACUCCGUGCCAGCAGCCGCGGUAAUACGGAGGAUCCGAGCGUUAUCCGGAUUUAUUGGGUUUAAAGGGAGCGUAGGUGGACAGUUAAGUCAGUUGUGAAAGUUUGCGGCUCAACCGUAAAAUUGCAGUUGAUACUGGCUGUCUUGAGUACAGUAGAGGUGGGCGGAAUUCGUGGUGUAGCGGUGAAAUGCUUAGAUAUCACGAAGAACUCCGAUUGCGAAGGCAGCUCACUGGACUGCAACUGACACUGAUGCUCGAAAGUGUGGGUAUCAAACAGGAUUAGAUACCCUGGUAGUCCACACAGUAAACGAUGAAUACUCGCUGUUUGCGAUAUACAGUAAGCGGCCAAGCGAAAGCAUUAAGUAUUCCACCUGGGGAGUACGCCGGCAACGGUGAAACUCAAAGGAAUUGACGGGGGCCCGCACAAGCGGAGGAACAUGUGGUUUAAUUCGAUGAUACGCGAGGAACCUUACCCGGGCUUAAAUUGCAUUUGAAUAAUCUGGAAACAGGUUAGCCGCAAGGCAAAUGUGAAGGUGCUGCAUGGUUGUCGUCAGCUCGUGCCGUGAGGUGUCGGCUUAAGUGCCAUAACGAGCGCAACCCUUAUCUUUAGUUACUAACAGGUCAUGCUGAGGACUCUAGAGAGACUGCCGUCGUAAGAUGUGAGGAAGGUGGGGAUGACGUCAAAUCAGCACGGCCCUUACGUCCGGGGCUACACACGUGUUACAAUGGGGGGUACAGAAGGCAGCUACCUGGUGACAGGAUGCUAAUCCCAAAAGCCUCUCUCAGUUCGGAUCGAAGUCUGCAACCCGACUUCGUGAAGCUGGAUUCGCUAGUAAUCGCGCAUCAGCCAUGGCGCGGUGAAUACGUUCCCGGGCCUUGUACACACCGCCCGUCACACCACGAGAGUUGAUUGCACCUGAAGUAGCAGGCCUAACCGCAAGGAAGGAUGCUCCGAGGGUGUGGUUAGCGAUUGG
RNAcentral lists this ribosomal RNA (1448 nucleotides) under uncultured organism. RNAcentral's name for it is "SSU rRNA". It matches the Rfam family "Bacterial small subunit ribosomal RNA". The record is from RNAcentral.